AGGACAUGGGCUGUUCUUGAGUGAAAACAUUAUAAAGCAGCUUUGGAGACUGAAUUCAUAGGUGAAGCAAAGUUUUUCGACUAGGACAAGACAAACAAUUAUUUUUCACUUAAAAAAAAAAAAACAACAACAACAACACCUCAAUCCUACAGGGUCCAGAUGCCUGAAAACGUUCCAGCACACGAUCAACUAAUUCUUGAAGCCUAAAGAAAUUGAAGAAAAAAGUAUAGAAAUCUUAGCAAACUCCUGAACUCCUGAUUACUAAUUCAACAAUGUGUUGGGAGCAUCUGUACCAUGCCAACCACUGAACAAACUCUGCACCCCCCCAAAAAAAGAGGAAUAAGUAAUGCACAGACAGGGUGAGUUGCUCAAAAUCAGUGAGAAGAAUCAGAAUCCAAGUUUCCUGGCAGCUGGCUCUGCUCUGUCACCAAUUCACCAUGUGCUCCAUGAAGGCUGGCUCUGUGUUUUACUCACUGCUUAAUGCCCACACCUAAAUUAAUGCCGAAAUGAAACAUUAAUUAACUGUUCAAUAAACAGUUGUUG
Long non-coding RNA from Tupaia belangeri chinensis (Chinese tree shrew), 543 nucleotides. RefSeq lists it as uncharacterized. NCBI's taxonomy places the organism in Eukaryota, Metazoa, Chordata, Mammalia, Scandentia, Tupaiidae. The transcript is spliced from 3 exons. The record is from RefSeq and is a predicted model, not a curated record.